CCGCCAUUCAUACUCGAGUCGAUUUCGUGCCGUGUGUCGAUGUUUCUGUGUGUGUUGAACCGAGAGGCAUGGUGACGGUGAUAUUUGUGCGAGCGACGAAAAACAUGAAACAAGUUGAUUAGUGGCCGUAGCAGCCAAAACACACCGAGCACCAGAAACACAAUACGCGCGCGAAACGAGUGACGAUGAUAUUGAUAUUUCGUCGCAAAUUCUCCACAUAGGAAGCAUACGAAAUAUCGCUAAAAUCGACCAAUGGAAGAUGCUGACCAAAUAAGAUUAAAACGACUGGCGAACGAAUAAUUGAGCUGAUAGUGCCGACUGGACGGGUAUAGAGUAUGGGGGCGUUUUUGGAUACACCUAAGACAGAAAAGUACAAUGAACACGGCGAGGGUAAUGGUCUCAAGUAUGGAGUCGCCAGCAUGCAGGGCUGGCGUCUCGAGAUGGAGGACGCACACCGAGCCAUCACCGGCCUCGAGGGCGGUCUCACAGACUGGAGUUAUUUCGCCGUGUUUGACGGCCACGCCGGGGCGCUUGUCUCGGCGCACAGUGCCGAACACCUCUUAGAAUGUAUAAUGCAAACCGAGGAGUUUAAAGCUGAAGAUGUGAUAAAAGGAAUUCACUCUGGCUUCCUGCGACUCGACGACGAGAUGCGCGACCUGCCGCAGAUGAGCUCGGGUUCCGACAAGUCGGGCUCGACCGCCGUCUGUGCUUUUAUUUCGCCCCGCAAUAUCUACAUAGCGAAUUGUGGCGAUUCCCGAAUGGUCCUCUGUCGGUCCGGGAAUCCGAUAUUUUCGACACGGGACCACAAGCCGGGUCUUCCCGCCGAGAAGGAACGGAUCCAGAAGGCUGGAGGAAGUGUCAUGAUUCAGAGAGUGAAUGGAUCGCUGGCAGUUUCCCGCGCCCUCGGCGAUUAUGAGUACAAAAAUGUGGAGGGACGCGGUCCCUGCGAGCAAUUGGUCUCGCCGGAGCCCGAAAUUUUUGUCCUUGACAGGGACGAAGAAAAUGAUCAGUUUAUUGUUUUGGCCUGUGACGGCAUUUGGGACGUCAUGACCAAUGAGGACCUCUGCGACUUUAUACACUCGCGGCUUCUGCUCACCGACGACUUGGAGGCGGUCACCAAUCAAGUCAUAGAUACUUGCUUGUACAAGGGUAGCCGAGACAAUAUGAGCAUAGUGUUGGUAACUUUCCCCGGAGCGCCAAAACCGUGUCCCGAGGCUCAGAAGAAAGAGGCUGAACUCGAAAUGGCCAUCGAAAGGAGGAUCAAAGCAAUUGUCGCGCAGCAGGAAGGCAAAGAGGGCUUCGACUUUCUUCAACUGCUCCAGUAUCUUAUGGACGAGGACCUGCCCAAUCUGCCACCUGGUGGAGGACUCGCUGCGAAGCAACCAUUUAUCGAACAUAUAUUUCGAGAAGUUUGUCCUAGCAGAGCAGACAGCUUCUAGAAGACUUGCGCUCAGAUUAUUCACACGGCAGACUGGUCAUUUUUUCCUGCCCUCCGCAACAAGGAUUGUCAACAUUGGUGUCGAGCACGGUCGGAAAAACUGGCCAUUUAGCUAAAUGCCAGAACUGUACAUAUACAACAUCUAUGUACUUUGAAUGUCUACCCCGGAGUUUUUACCAUCAUGUCUAUCAACACUGAACCAAGAGAUUUACUUGCACCCAUGGCUAAUAAAUUAUUUACUUGGAGAAGAGAGUUCGAAAAAAUAAUUUAUUCGGUCUACCCUCGAAGAUCGGUACCUGGAACGAAAGUUUUUCUUUUCGAAUAAAAACUCGAUCGACCAUAGAAUUUAAUAAAGAAAAAGAAAGAAAGAAAAAAAACAAACAAAGAAACAAAAUUAAUGAACUAGACGACAAAAUUUAGAUAGAGGUACCACAGGUAAAUUUUUUUCUCAGUGUGAAAGGAUUGAGCGAAAUUUUUUUACAAAAAUACCGAAGCAAAACAUUUUCAGUCCUUCGCAAGCGAGCAUACACGGCACAACCUUUACUUAAUAAUUUGUACACCUACGAAUUAGAAGGUUUAGUCCAUAAUUAUUGUACGAUACUAUUUGUCUUGAUAUAUACGAUAUUUUGGAAAGCAACAUUUUUUUGUUUUUGUUUUUUGGAUUAUUGGUACGUUUUACGGUAUAAUAACUGCCAAUUGCAGAAUUGUAAUAUUCACAAAUGUGUGUCCUCGAACACUCGUGUAAAUAAAACCUCUUGUUGCCGAAUAGUAAUGGAAUUAGUGAUUAUGAUUAAUAAAAUAAAACAAAUUUAGUAAGUUAAUAAAAAGGCAGAUGCGCGUCAAGGCUCAAAAUUUUAAUAUUUAAUGUCUAUUGAAUAUCCUAAAUUGGACAAUUAAUAUGAAAAUUAAAAAGGAAAUUGUAAAAUACUAUUGUAGAAUAAUUUCGGAUUUCGAAGGAGAGAAUAGUUUAAUUUUGGUUUUUAUAGAACGGGCAGAUUUUUCAAAAAAUUGAGGAUUUAACGCGCAAGUGCCUUAAAUAGUUGUGUAAUUAAGAUUAUCCCAUUUUCAACGCAGUCACGAAAAUCGGAUUCAAUCAAAUUUCAGUAAAGUCUGACACCCGGAAUUUCAGGUACGAUUUCGUGGAUAUUUUGUGUAUGUUAUAUUACUUAUCGAGUUACUUACAAUAUAUUAUUUACCUAUGUUGUUGUAUAUAUAUAUAAAAAAAAUAUACGUAAUUGUAUUUCAU
RNA transcript from Belonocnema kinseyi, 2684 nucleotides. It is a transcript of the gene named protein phosphatase 1A, with no coding region annotated. NCBI's taxonomy places the organism in Eukaryota, Metazoa, Arthropoda, Insecta, Hymenoptera, Cynipidae. The transcript has 8 exons. The record is from RefSeq and is a predicted model, not a curated record.